RNAcentral lists this ribosomal RNA (519 nucleotides) under Lactiplantibacillus plantarum. RNAcentral's name for it is "bacterial SSU rRNA". It matches the Rfam family "Bacterial small subunit ribosomal RNA", at positions 71 to 578 of the family's 1533-position model. The record is from RNAcentral. Lineage: Bacteria; Bacillati; Bacillota; Bacilli; Lactobacillales; Lactobacillaceae.
AUCAUGAUUUACAUUUGAGUGAGUGGCGAACUGGUGAGUAACACGUGGGAAACCUGCCCAGAAGCGGGGGAUAACACCUGGAAACAGAUGCUAAUACCGCAUAACAACUUGGACCGCAUGGUCCGAGCUUGAAAGAUGGCUUCGGCUAUCACUUUUGGAUGGUCCCGCGGCGUAUUAGCUAGAUGGUGGGGUAACGGCUCACCAUGGCAAUGAUACGUAGCCGACCUGAGAGGGUAAUCGGCCACAUUGGGACUGAGACACGGCCCAAACUCCUACGGGAGGCAGCAGUAGGGAAUCUUCCACAAUGGACGAAAGUCUGAUGGAGCAACGCCGCGUGAGUGAAGAAGGGUUUCGGCUCGUAAAACUCUGUUGUUAAAGAAGAACAUAUCUGAGAGUAACUGUUCAGGUAUUGACGGUAUUUAACCAGAAAGCCACGGCUAACUACGUGCCAGCAGCCGCGGUAAUACGUAGGUGGCAAGCGUUGUCCGGAUUUAUUGGGCGUAAAGCGAGCGCAGGCGG